UUCAGAAAAAAAUUUGGGUAGGGGGAAUGUGGGACAUCGGGCACAGAGGAAAAUCAACUCUUACACUCAUACUAUAUCCAGAAUCACGUCUGCAGUUCGAUGUUUGAAUCAGCCGUUGGGCAUGUUUGUAAUCGGGUUAAUCUUCACAAUGAGAUCUGGUAGUUACUUCCUCGAAAGUCUCUGCAAGACUUUAAGCUUCGAAAAUGACAUAGAGAGAAUGAUUUAUUCAAGACCUGGAUUGUAUUGGAAAAUAUCAAUGAAAUAUAUCUGCCCAAUUAUUAUGGUCGUUGUCUUUAUUGCAAGCUUCGUGGACAUGUUCCUCUACUCUCCGAGUUACUCACUUGGAACGAAGACGCCGGCUCGAAAGACUAGUUAACUUAUCCACAAUGGCCAUAUUUAUUAUAGUAUUAUUGAUACUGAGCUCGAUGUUUUGUAUCCCUCUAUUUGUGGGUCUUGUACAUUUCGGAAUUUUCGACUUAAAUGGAUCGGUUCGGAUUCUUUUAAAUGAGCAUCAGUAUGUGGGUUUAUGACCUAUGACAAAAUUCUGUUAAAAUCACACCGCUUCUAACAGAUCCACCAACCACCACCUUUGAUUUAUAUACUGUGCUUUGAUACCUUGUGAAUUAUUUUCCUUCUGUUAUAGUACAAUUUUUUUUUCGUAUACACAAUGUUUUUCCCUGUUUGAAUUUGUUAUUUAUUCUUCUGUGUCUGCUUUCUAUUGAAGCUUUUGUUUUUUAUGUCACAUUGAAAUGUAUUGUUUUUGUCUUGUUUUGAUUGUUUUAAAUGAUUUUUUCUGUGAUUGAUACAAGAUAUUCAUGUUUUAUAUGUCACAUUGAAAUGUAUUGUUUUUGUCUUGUUUUGAUUGUUUUAAAUGAUUUUUUCUGUGAUUGAUACAAGAUAUUCAUGCCAGAUUUUACUGAUCCAAAAAUUGUUAAUAUUUGAAUCUGUUCCAAAUCAUUCAAAACUUGAUAAUCUAGAAUUCUUUGCAAUCAGGAAAUUGUACCUUGACCGUGGGUUAAUGCUUUAGAUUUGAUUGAAAAUUCUCAGGAAGUAUUCUUACCAAGAUGGUACCUGGUACCCAUACAAUGUUCAGGUUGUGUGCCAUCUUGGUACGAAUACUUCGGGAGCACCCAAUAUUUUACUUCAUGUUACAAAAUUGUUUAGUUCUUUUUCAAGUGCGACUUCGGCUAAAGGAAUUUGAUUUUUUUAUGGAAUAUCAGACUGCGAAAAUAUCCAAAACUCCUCUAUAAUUAUCGGGUACUAUUAUUAAAAGCUUUCGAUUUUAAUAAUAAAAAUUACAAAUUCAAGUUUUUAAUUCAAAUAUCUUCUAUGAGAAUACAUUAAAACAAUCUAGAAUCCUUUAAAAAAAUAUUUUUUUACUAAUUCAGUCAAAAAUCUCAAAUUGAUCCCAGUCAAGGUUUAUAAGCUUUUUAUUAUCAAGUUUUAAAUUCACUCUUUUAAUGAAAAUUUUCACCCAGAGAAGUAUCAAUAUACACAAGUUUUUUGAAAAACUUAUAAACAGCUUUUUCUGAUAUACACAAUUUCUUAUUCCAACCAGGGUUAUUUUUUUUAUUAUUAUUUUCUAUUGAAGCUGUUCUACUGUUUUACUUUUAUAUAUUUGUCGUCUGAAUCAGUUUUGUCACAAUCCUUAGACCUCAAUCUAAAGCAGUGUUUCUCAAAUUGUUCAACCCGUAUACCCGUUUUUAGUAUUUGUCAAGUCUCUUGCCUCACCUCAAAAAUAACUAACUAACAAUAAGCUACAAAUAACAGAUAGUGAGUAUGUUUUAUUCAAAAAAACGUGUUCAAAAUGUAAGGAUGGAUUGUAAAUAUCCAACAUAAGGUGGGCAAAAUCAAAUCUAACGUAUAUUUUUAUUUGAAAUUAGCUCCACGAACCUCAAAAAAUUGUCUACGCCCUCCUUGUGGGGCUCGUUCCGCUGUUUGAGAACCACUGACCUAAAGGUUUUCUAAAUUGCCACUGGCAAAGCAUAUAAUAGAACCAAUUAGCGCCCAAUACACAUAACCUUACAUUAAAAUUAGAAUUAAAACAUAAAACUAUCGCUUCUUUGAAUAUCUUCAUUUUUGAGUAGACUUGUAGUUGUUGAAAAAUCUGUGCCUUGCUUAACCCUUUAAAAAGCUAUGCUGUAUUUUAUUGCUUUUAAUGAUAACUACCACCCAUAUACACAAUUCUAGGACCUCCUGAAGUAUGCGCACCAAGAUGGCGCACAACCUGAACUCGAGGUGUGUACCAGGUCAGGGUUCAGGCAUGUGCGACAUCUUGGUGCGCAUACUCCAGGAGUACCCAAUUCUAUUCGUAAUCAUAUUCUAUAUAUGCUUAUAUAUUAAAUUUACCUUUUAGUGUCACAAUUUCAAAUAUUUGCAUAUCUCCAAAGACGGACCUCAAUUUCCUAUAGGGUCCUCUUGAAAAGCUCUAUGCUGGAGUAAUGAUUUGCCCAGCGCCUUCUUAAGAGCAUAAAUCAGACUUGGCAGAAAAUUGAAGUCCUGUCAGAUCAGCUCGUUCAGACACUUCUUUGGAGCAUAGUUCAAACCAAGCUAGAGAAUCCAUGCCCAAAUUUGUUUUUUUUUUGCUUAUGUAUCUACCUGUCCAAAGCAUUGCUCAGAAAACCUGUUCUUAAAUAAGAUUGA
Non-coding RNA from Styela clava, 2643 nucleotides. The record is from RefSeq and is a predicted model, not a curated record. NCBI's taxonomy places the organism in Eukaryota, Metazoa, Chordata, Ascidiacea, Stolidobranchia, Styelidae.